CGAGAGAAGGGAAGUUUGUCGUAACUUAAUAAAUACUAUUUUGCUUUCCCUGGAGAGCUGCUGAUGUCUAUGUUCAGAAUGAGUAUUCUUCCUCUGGUCAGCUCAAGUGUCAUAGCAGGUCUUGCUGGAAUGGACACCAAAACAACUGCUAAAAUUGGUCUGCGAUCCAUGGCUUACUGCCUGAGCAGCGCAAGUACUGCAAUAGCAGUAGGUGCACACAAGCUUCUGAUGCAGUUUUACAUGAUUUGUGUAAGAUCACGAAGGGAACAAAUAGUGGUGG
Molecule: long non-coding RNA, 280 nt
Organism: Callorhinchus milii (elephant shark)
Lineage: Eukaryota; Metazoa; Chordata; Chondrichthyes; Chimaeriformes; Callorhinchidae
Exons: 3
Source: RefSeq, a predicted model, not a curated record